RNAcentral lists this long non-coding RNA (393 nucleotides) under Arabidopsis lyrata. RNAcentral's name for it is "long non-coding RNA (ALYR_LNC001539)". The record is from RNAcentral. Lineage: Eukaryota; Viridiplantae; Streptophyta; Magnoliopsida; Brassicales; Brassicaceae.
AGCUUUGAAGCCACGGGAUCGAACUGAUGAGCUUCUACUUCCAUUCCAAUGACCAUGAUUGCAUACUGAGCUAUGUUCUUGGAGUCAGCUUGGAGAAGGUUGGUUCCUUGGUUUUCGUAUCGGUGAGCUAUGUACUGAGUAAUCGCUCUUGAUUCUGCACAAAAAGAUCCAAUUCAUGUUAGUGAUUUUGCCUUCUAAUGCAGAUUUGAGAUUGAAGAUGAUGCAUGGAAAAGGUUCAUACCGAAGAGCUUGAGGUCUCCAUCUUCAAAGGCUGGAACUUGACCAAAAGGCUGAAGAGGAAAAAAGUUCAAACACAAAAGAUUCCGACAAGUUACAUCAAAACAGUUGGUCUCUUGUCUUACAACAAGACAUAGAUAGAUAAAUAUACUUACG